This 253-nucleotide ribosomal RNA is filed under the name uncultured bacterium. RNAcentral describes it as "partial 16S ribosomal RNA". It matches the Rfam family "Bacterial small subunit ribosomal RNA", at positions 524 to 776 of the family's 1533-position model. The record is from RNAcentral.
UACGUAGGUGACAAGCGUUGUCCGGAUUUACUGGGCGUAAAGAGCGCGCAGGCGGUCGUUCAAGUCGAGUGUGAAAGCCCCCGGCUCAACUGGGGAGGGUCACUCGAUACUGAUCGACUCGAAGGCAGGAGAGGGAAGUGGAAUUCCCGGUGUAGUGGUGAAAUGCGUAGAUAUCGGGAGGAACACCAGUGGCGAAGGCGACUUCCUGGCCUGUUCUUGACGCUCAUGCACGAAAGCGUGGGGAGCAAACAGG